This 224-nucleotide ribosomal RNA is filed under the name uncultured bacterium. RNAcentral's name for it is "partial 16S ribosomal RNA". It matches the Rfam family "Bacterial small subunit ribosomal RNA", at positions 524 to 747 of the family's 1533-position model. The record is from RNAcentral.
UACAGAGGUCCCAAGCGUUGUUCGGAUUCAUUGGGCGUAAAGGGUGCGUAGGUGGCGCUGUAAGUCGGGUGUGAAAUUUCGGAGCUUAACUCCGAAACUGCAUUCGAUACUGCGGUGCUUGAGGACUGGAGAGGAGACUGGAAUUCAUGGUGUAGCAGUGAAAUGCGUAGAGAUCAUGAGGAAGACCAGUGGCGAAGGCGGGUCUCUGGACAGUUCCUGACACU